CAAAAACCAAAUGUGUAUACUCUCUAGUCACAAACUCUCUCUGAUGAUUCUUUCGGUCUCGCACUUCUCUCUCUUUCAAUCUUCACGUCUUCAAUUCGAUUCUUCUAAGUAAUAUCACAUACUUUACUUCUUGAACGAAGCGUAUUGAAGCUUGAAGUUUAAUAGAUUUGUGCUUUGAUUUGAUUUUCGGAACAUUGGAACUUUGGGUCGUUGGAUCUGAGAAGAACAGAGAGAGAUGUGAGAAAGCAUCGAAGAUGAGAUACCUAUGCAGUUGAGGAAGUAAAGAACAAGGUUAUUUUCAAAGAAACAGCCAGGCCAUCAGGGCUAUGGCGCCAAAAAAGACAAAGGCAAAAAGAAAAUGGCUAUUUCUCAAGGGAUGAUGAUGGUGAUUGCGAUGAGGAAGAUUGAAAUGAAGCUACCUAGCUAGAUGCAUUAUUGGUAGGGAUGCUGAUUUUGUUAAAACAUUGCUUUUGUCUUUUGAUUGUUCAGCUGUAACGUAUAUGAUUGUUGGCUUUUGCUAGCUUUUGGCUGAUUGUUUAGCUGUAACAUUUAUGUCGUACAUAAUUUUAUAACUGUCCUUUUGUAAAUAUAUGAAUGCUUGUUGGCUUUUAAAUUAUGUUGUACUGAAUUUUAAUGGAUAUGAUUCUUGA
Long non-coding RNA from Daucus carota subsp. sativus, 650 nucleotides. RefSeq lists it as uncharacterized. The record is from RefSeq and is a predicted model, not a curated record. The transcript is spliced from 4 exons. NCBI's taxonomy places the organism in Eukaryota, Viridiplantae, Streptophyta, Magnoliopsida, Apiales, Apiaceae.